This 522-nucleotide long non-coding RNA is filed under the name Gallus gallus (chicken). Lineage: Eukaryota; Metazoa; Chordata; Aves; Galliformes; Phasianidae. The record is from RNAcentral.
UCGUCAUAGCGCUGCCGUGCCAAUUUGUCCUGGUAUUGGGCUCGUGCUUGAUGCUGUUUUGUUUCCUCACUGAGUGUUUUUCGUCUCUCUUCUGCUUGCACCCGUAUCUGCUCGUUCUUCAGUUGCUCUAUGGCAGCUUCGUACUCCUUCAGCUUGGCUUGCUGCUCCAGCUGCAGGGUCUGCUCUUGCAUCUGGGCCAGGCUGAGUGCAUCCUUUGCAUGGCGGGACGCGUCCAGCUCCCUCGCCGCCUUGGCCGCCCGCUCCAGGCCCGUGGGGUCGAAGUUGCUCCAUUUGUCCUUGGGCGUGCUGCGGUCCCCCGCCCCUCCGCUGCCCGCCGGCCCGCCGCCACCACCCGGGCCCGGCGGCAGGGAAAGCCCGGCCGCUCCCUGCCCCGACUCGCCGCCGCCCGCCGGGGCCGAGCCGCGGUUGAUGCCGAAGAGCCAGGACAUGGCGCCGCCCCGCCGCCGGCUGCACCGCGGGACCCACGCCGCGCCGAGCCACGCGCGCCGCCUCCGAUUGGGC